GAAGAUAUUUAGGUGACUUACAGCAACCAAUUGCAACAAAACAAAAUGUUAAGAAAUGAUCUUUUUAUGAGGCAAUUGGAAAUUUGAACACUGAUCAACUAUAGGAUGAUUGGAAUUAUUAAUUUUGUAAAGGUGUGAUAAGAUACUGCACUUGGCUGGGCACAGUGGCACAUGCCUGUAAUCCCAGCUACUUGGCAGGCUGAGGUGGGAGAAUCGCUUGAGCUCAGGAGUUCGAGACCAGCCUGGGCAACGUGGCGAAAUCCCCGUCUUUACAAAAACAAACAAACAAACAAAAAAGAUAUUGCAGUUGUGUUGUAAGCGUCCUUAUCUUUCAGAGCUACAUAGUGGAAUGUUUAUGGAAUAUUUAGGAUAAAUGAUAUAGGCAUUUGGGAUUUGCUGCAAAAUGACCCAGAGGCAGGGGUCAGGGGGAGAGGUAGAGAUGAGACAAGAGGUAGAGGGGAGAGGUAGAGGUAGCCACGAGCUGAUAAUUACAGACAAGAGAUGCGGAGUAUGUGGGGGCUCAUUAUCCUGCAUAGUCUAUCUUUGUAUAUCUUUGAACUUUUCAAGAAUAAAAAAGCUUAAAAAGUAUACAUGGCCUGGUCCUACCAGAGACUCACCCAAUGCCAGCCUCCAGCCAGGGAGAGCCAAGUUUGCAUUUUCACACGCAUCUCACACUCCUCUGCACUCUCAACUUGGAGCGCUCCAAACAGGGAAACCCCAAGCCUUGCUGGCUUCUGCCAACCCCCUGAGCAGAAGCAUGGGUCCCCCUGAUCACCACCUCACCACCCUCAUCCUGAUCUCACUGUACACAGCAAGCAAACCCCAGUGUAAUUAACAAGACUGAGGAUACCUGUAAUCCCAGCACUUUGGGAGGCUGAGGCCGGCAGAUCACAUGAGUUCAGGAGUUCGAGACCAGCCUGGCAAACCAUGGCCAACAUGGCAAAGCCCAUCUCUACUAAAAACACAGAAAUUAGCCAGGUGCGGUGGUGCGCAUCUGUAACCCCUACUACUUAGGAGAAUUGGAUUGAACCCGGGAGGCGGAGGUUGCAGUGAACUGAGAUCGCACCACUGCACUCCAGCCUGGGUGACAGAGUGAUUCUCCAUCUCAAAAAAAAAAAAAAAAACAACAA
This 1130-nucleotide long non-coding RNA is filed under the name Homo sapiens (human). RNAcentral's name for it is "novel transcript, sense overlapping POLR2J2, UPK3BL and RASA4". Lineage: Eukaryota; Metazoa; Chordata; Mammalia; Primates; Hominidae. The record is from RNAcentral.